UACGAAGGGGGCUAGCGUUGUUCGGAAUUACUGGGCGUAAAGCGCGCGCAGGCGGUCUUCCAAGUCAGUGGUGAAAGCCCGGAGCUCAACUCCGGAACUGCCAUUGAAACUGUGAGACUGGAGUACGAGAGAGGUGAGUGGAAUUCCCAGUGUAGAGGUGAAAUUCGUAGAUAUUGGGAAGAACACCGGUGGCGAAGGCGGCUCACUGGCUCGUAACUGACACUGAGGCGCGACAGCGUGGGGAGCAAACAGG
RNAcentral lists this ribosomal RNA (253 nucleotides) under uncultured bacterium. RNAcentral's name for it is "partial 16S ribosomal RNA". It matches the Rfam family "Bacterial small subunit ribosomal RNA", at positions 524 to 776 of the family's 1533-position model. The record is from RNAcentral.